UCUGCAUUUACAAACUACUUGCAAAAUACCAGUUAACACCAGCAGAUGGAGACAGUCCCCUGGAAACCUGUAGCAUUCUUCACCACCAGACAGACUGAGGACAAGACAACCCCAGGUUAUUUUAAUUAAGUUUAUUGUUAUAUGGCAAUACGUUCCAGGCACUUUAAACUUCAACCAGAUCAAAGUACCUCCUCUCCUUCUCAAUGUUUUACUACAACAGGACAAUACACUUACCAGCUCCAACACUUUACAGUACAUAUAAGGAAAAACAAUGAUAUUUGCAUUAAAAACUAUACCUCGAUAAAUAUAUAUCUUCAUGUAACAUUAAGAAGUAAUAGGAAAUAUUCAAAAUAUUGUGAUUUUUAAAUACAUACAAAUUAAAUAGAUUUGUAUAAAAGUAGAAUUUAUAUCCAAUCCAUAGAAGAUUGAGUUACAAUUAUACAUUUGAGAAGGUGCGGUGUACAGAUACAGGCCCAUUAAAGGUGGUAGAGUACACAUACAGGCCCAUUAAAGGUGUGGUGUACACAUACAGGUCCAUUAAAGGUAGUAGAGUACACAUACAGGCCCAUUAAAGGUGGUAGAGAACACAUACAGGCCCAUUAAAGGUGGUAGAGUACACAUACAGGCCCAUUAAAGGUGUGGUGUACACAUACAGGUCCAUUAAAGGUGGUAGAGUACACAUACAGGCCCAUUAAAGGUGUGGUGUACACAUACAGGCCCAUUAAAGGUGGCGGUGUACACAUACAGGCCCAUUAAAGGUGGCGGUGUACACAUACAGGCCCAUUAAAGGUGGCGGUGUACACAUACAGGCCCAUUAAAGGUGGCGGUGUACACAUACAGGCCCAUUAAAGGUGGUAGAGAACAUAUACAGGCCCAUUAAAAGGUGGUAGAGAACACAUACAGGCCCAUUAAAGGUGGUAGAGUACACAUACAGGCCCAUUAAAGGUGGUAGAGUACACAUACAGGCCCAUUAAAGGUUGUAGAGUACACAUACAGGCCCAUUAAAGGUGGUAGAGUACACAUACAGGCCCAUUAAAAGGCGGUAGAGUACACAUACAGGCCCAUUAAAAGGUGGUAGAGUACACAUACAGGUCCAUUAAAGGUGGUAGAGUACACAUACAGGCCCAUUAAAG
Long non-coding RNA from Oncorhynchus tshawytscha (Chinook salmon), 1133 nucleotides. The record is from Ensembl. NCBI's taxonomy places the organism in Eukaryota, Metazoa, Chordata, Actinopteri, Salmoniformes, Salmonidae.